AAAGGUACUCAAGGGCACAUAAUGGAUGCCUAGACGUAUAUUACCGAUGAAGGACGUGGAAGACUGCGAUAAGCUUCGGGUAGCUGUCAACAAGCUUUGAUCCGGAGAUUUCCGAAUGGGGAAACCCAACACGAGUCAUGUCGUGUUACCCUUGUCUGAAUACAUAGGACAUGAGGCGGGAACCAUCUGAACUGAAACAUCUUAGUAGGAUGAGGAAAAGAAAGUAAAUAACGAUUACGAAAGUAGUGGCGAGCGAAAUCGUAAGAGCCCAAACCUUAUAGAUUUUUAUUUAUAUAAUAAAUAAGCUGAUAGGCGAAUAUCUAUGAGGGGUUGUGAUAUUACAUAUGACCAAGUCAGAGCAUUUGAUUAGUUCAAAUAAUCUGAUUUGCGAUAAUUGUCUAUCAACAAUUAGUAAGGUAAGAAAAUUGCGUGGUUAGCAGAAUAGUUUGAAUGACUAGCCAAAGAAUGUGAAAGCCGUGUACGCGAAAACGACGCUGACCUUAUGUAUGUUUUAUCGAGUAGGACGGGGCACGAGAAACCCUGUUUGAAUCUGGCUGGACCACCAGCCAAGGCUAAAUAUAAUAUACGAUCGAUAGUGAACUAGUACAGUGAUGGAAAGGUGAAAAGAACCCCGGGAGGGGAGUGAAAUAGAUCCUGAAAUUUAGUGCCUACAAGGAGUCGGAGCCGGCUUGUCCGGUGACGGCGUGCUUUUUGUAGAACGAUCCAGCGAGUUAAUUUUUACAGCGAGGUUAAGUCAAUUGACGGAUCCACAGUGAAAGCGAGCCUGAAUAGGGCGUUUAGUUGUAAGGAUUAGACCCGAAACCGGGUGACCUAACCAUGAGCAGGUUGAAGCCACUGUAACAGGUGGUGGAGGACCGAACCAGGAUACGCAGCAAAGUGUUUGGAUGACUUGUGGUUAGCGGUGAAAUGCCAAUCGAACUCGGAGAUAGCUGGUUCUCCUCGAAAUAGCUUUAGGGCUAGCGUCAUGUUAGUAAUGUAUGGGGGUAGAGCUCUGUAAAGGAUUGGGGCGGGCAACUGUACCCACCCUUAACAAACUACGAAUACCGUAUAUGUAAUCAUGGCAGUUAGAACAUCGGUGCUAAGAUCGGUGCUCAAAAGGGAAACAGCCCAGACCAUCAUCUAAGGUCCCUAAAUAUACAUUAAGUGGGAAACAAGGUGAAAUUUCUUAAACAGCGAGGAUGUUGGCUUAGAAGCAGCCAUUCAUUUAAAGAGUGCGUAACAGCUCACUCGUCAAGAGAUUUUGCGUGGAAAAUGUAACGGGGCUAAAUGUAUUACCGAAGAUAUGGAUUAUUACAUUAGUAAUAGUGGUAGAGGAGCGUUCCUAUCAGCAGUGAAGCAGUAUUGAAAAGUAUUGUGGAGCGGUAGGAAGUGAGAAUGCUGGAAUGAGUAACCAUAAGAUAGGUGAGAAUCCUGUCGGCCGUAAGAGCAAGGUUUCCUGAGCUAUGGUAAUCAUCUCAGGGUUAGUCGGGCCUAAGCCGAGGCGCAGAGCGUAGGCGAUGGACAUCAGGUUAAUAUUCCUGAACCGGUUAAGUUUUGUACACUGUUCACGGGGAAGUAAUCGAAGCGGAUUCAUGGUUUAUCCGUCCAACCGAGCGGGAACGCAAAGGGAGUGAAAGUGAUUCUUCGGAGUCGCGAUUUUGGUGAAAGCCCUGGCUAGAAAAGCAGGUGUACGCGUGGACUUAGCCGCCCGUACCGCAAACCAACACAGGUGCUCGAGUCGAGUAGACUCAGGCUUACGAGCGAACCUUCGCUAAGGAACUCGGCAAUACAGCGACCGUAACUUCGGGAUAAGGUCUGCCCCCACUUCGGUGGAUAUCAGCCGCGUUCACUCAGUGAAUAUUAGGUUAAAGAGUACAUUUUUAAUCACAAAACGAAUUUUCUGAGAUAGAGCAAUGAAUUGUUCUUUUGAACGCGAAUCUCUGACAUCUAACGAUGUGGGGGCCGCAGCAAAAGAGCCCACGGAACUGUUUAUCAAAAACACAGGUCUCUGCUAACACGAAAGUGGAUGUAUAGGGGCUGACUCCUGCCCAAUGCUGGAAGGUUAAGGGGAGUGCUUCACGGUGCGAACUGAAGCCCUAGUCAAUGGCGGCGGUAACUAUAACCGUCCUAAGGUAGCGAAAUUCCUUGUCAGGUAAGUUC
This 2160-nucleotide ribosomal RNA is filed under the name human oral metagenome. RNAcentral's name for it is "bacterial LSU rRNA". It matches the Rfam family "Bacterial large subunit ribosomal RNA", at positions 1 to 1983 of the family's 2925-position model. The record is from RNAcentral.